UAGGGAAUCUUCGGCAAUGGGGGCAACCCUGACCGAGCAACGCCGCGUGAGUGAAGAAGGUUUUCGGAUCGUAAAGCUCUGUUGUAGGUCAAGAACGGGUGUGAGAGUGGAAAGUUCACACUGUGACGGUAGCUUACCAGAAAGGGACGGCUAACUACGUGCCAGCAGCCGCGGUAAUACGUAGGUCCCGAGCGUUGUCCGGAUUUAUUGGGCGUAAAGCGAGCGCAGGCGGUUUGAUAAGUCUGAAGUUAAAGGCUGUGGCUCAACCAUAGUUCGCUUUGGAAACUGUCAAACUUGAGUGCAGAAGGGGAGAGUGGAAUUCCAUGUGUAGCGGUGAAAUGCGUAGAUAUAUGGAGGAACACCGGUGGCGAAAGCGGCUCUCUGGUCUGUAACUGACGCUGAGGCUCGAAAGCGUGGGGAGCGAACAGGAUUAGAUACCCUGGUAGUCCACGCCGUAAACGAUGAGUGCUAGGUGUUGGAUCCUUUCCGGGAUUCAGUGCCGCAGCUAACGCAUUAAGCACUCCGCCUGGGGGAGUACGACCGCA
This 545-nucleotide ribosomal RNA is filed under the name uncultured bacterium. RNAcentral describes it as "partial 16S ribosomal RNA". It matches the Rfam family "Bacterial small subunit ribosomal RNA", at positions 355 to 890 of the family's 1533-position model. The record is from RNAcentral.